AAUGAACGCUGGCGGCAUGGAUUAGGCAUGCAAGUCGGGGGAAUCCCAGCAAUGGGGGAACCGGCGUAAGGGGCAGUAAGGCAUGGGUACCUACCUUGGGGUUCGGGAUAGCCAUCAGAGAUGGUGGGUAAUACCGGAUGACGUCGUGAGACCAAAGAUUCAUCGCCCUUAGAGGGGCCCAUGUGAUAUUAGCUAGUUGGUGGGGUAACGGCCCACCAAGGCGAAGAUGUCUAGCGGGUGUGAGGGCACGACCCGCGCCACUCGCACUGAGACACUGGCGAGACACCUACGGGUGGCUGCAGUCGAGGAUCUUCGGCAAUGAGCGCAAGCUUGACCGAGCGAUGCCGCGUGAGCGAUGAAGGCCUUCGGGUUGUAAAGCUCUUUAGUGGGGGAGAAAUGCCGCAAGGUGUGAUCUAUCCCAAAAAUAAGCACGGGCUAAGUUCGUGCCAGCAGCCGCAGUAA
This 462-nucleotide ribosomal RNA is filed under the name uncultured bacterium. RNAcentral's name for it is "partial 16S ribosomal RNA". It matches the Rfam family "Bacterial small subunit ribosomal RNA", at positions 29 to 523 of the family's 1533-position model. The record is from RNAcentral.